CCUACGGGAGACAGCAGUGAGGAAUAUUGGUCAAUGGCCGGAAGGCUGAACCAGCCAAGCCGCGUGAAGGACGAAGGUGCCAAGCAUUGUAAACUUCUUUUGUAAAGGGGCAAAAUCAGACUCGAGAGCCUGACCGAGGGUACUUGAAGAAAAAGCAUCGGCUAACUCCGUGCCAGCAGCCGCGGUAAUACGGGGGAUUCAAGCGUUAUCCGGAUUUAUUGGGUUUAAGGGGUGCGUAGGCGGUCUGUUAAGUUAAAGGUAAAACCCCGGGGUUAAACCCGGGCGAGCCGUUGAAACUGGCGGUCUAGAGAGGUGGAGAGGUAUGCGGAAUGCGGAGUGUAGCGGUGAAAUGCUUAGAUA
This 360-nucleotide ribosomal RNA is filed under the name uncultured bacterium. RNAcentral's name for it is "partial 16S ribosomal RNA". It matches the Rfam family "Bacterial small subunit ribosomal RNA", at positions 338 to 696 of the family's 1533-position model. The record is from RNAcentral.